This 941-nucleotide long non-coding RNA is filed under the name Zostera marina. RNAcentral's name for it is "long non-coding RNA (ZMAR_LNC003340)". The record is from RNAcentral. Lineage: Eukaryota; Viridiplantae; Streptophyta; Magnoliopsida; Alismatales; Zosteraceae.
AUUGAUUGAGUUUUGUUAUCCUAAAUUGUUUGAACCUGCAGUUGUAGCUAUAAAGAUUGAUGUUUUGAAGAAACCCCUAAAUGAGAUGUAUGAAUGGUAUGCGUUACAUCAUCCAAUAAAACAUCAAGAUAACAUCAAUGGAUGAUUUUGCGCCCUGUGCUCCGGAGGUGUUGGGUAGUCUUCCUCAUUAUGCUGAUUAUAGCAAGUCGGGCACCCCUAUCAUUGUGAUGAUUUCGAGCCAUGUUAAUUUCCAGCGCCAAUGAAGCCGUUGUCUUGUUAGCCCCAUUAUGAAUUUCUUAGUUGAUGAGUAGCGUUCUUACCGUGGGCAAACUCAUGCAUGGUUUCCAGUUGUGAAGAAAUCACAGCUACAAUCGCCUCGAAAUUAGUAUUCAGACCACUCAAAAUAUAUAAGAUCGCCUCAGAAUCAAGAACGAUUACUCCAGUCGACCUCAAAUCUUCAAUUAGACCCAUCGCCUUGGAUAGGUAAGCCUCGAUUUGCAGAUCCUAGAGCCGGAGGUCGAUGCAUGGAUCUUCCAAAUCAGCUUCCAAGCCUUAGCCGUGUCGAUAUUCUUGCGCUUGCGACCUGUGCGAGAAUGUCGACUACGACGUUGAAAAAAUCCAGCCUAAAAUCAAUUGAUCUUGUUGGAUUCUCGCCUCUUCGUCGCCAAGAACCACCUCACCCUUAACAUAGGGAAAUAACCCAUGACCUCGCAGCAACGUCGUGAUUUGUGCUUGCCAUAUAUAUCCGCAAUUGGUGCUUCAGCUUGAUAAUAUUCAUCUGGACUAUCGUUCUGCUAAGUGUAGUGGGAUUGGCUAUGAACACCGGGGCAGUAUCUCAAAUAAUCAAAUAAUAGAGUGAAAGAAAUGAAAACUAAAUGAACAAUCGAGAACCUAACCAUGCAUCUGAUACAAUAUUAGAUUAGAAGAUUGAGUGAUUAUUC